CCCUUAGAUGUUCUGGGCCGCGCGCGCGCUACACUGAUGAAUUCAACGAGCGCUAACCUGUGCCGAAAGGUUCGGGUAAUCUUGUGAAAUUUCAUCGUGAUGGGGAUUGAUUAUUGCAAUUUUUAAUCAUAAACGAGGAAUGCCUAGUAAGCGUGAGUCAUCAGCUCACGUUGAUUACGUCCCUGCUCUUUGUACACACCGCCCGUCGCUCCUACCGAUUGAAUGUGCCAGUGAAAAGUUAGGAUUGGGCGUGGGAGACGGCAACGUAUUCCACAUCCGAGAAAAUCUUUAAACUUUCCCAUUUAGAGGAAGGAGAAGUCGUAACA
This 326-nucleotide ribosomal RNA is filed under the name uncultured eukaryote. Its description in RNAcentral is "partial 18S ribosomal RNA". It matches the Rfam family "Eukaryotic small subunit ribosomal RNA", at positions 1470 to 1796 of the family's 1831-position model. The record is from RNAcentral.